AGUUUGAUCCUGGCCAGGACGAACGCUGGCGGCGUGCCUAAUACAUGCAAGUCGAACGAAGCUUUCUUUCACCGAAUGCUUGCAUUCACCGAAAGAAGCUUAGUGGCGAACGGGUGAGUAACACGUAGGCAACCUGCCCAAAAGAGGGGGAUAACACUUGGAAACAGGUGCUAAUACCGCAUAACCAUGAACACCGCAUGAUGUUCAUGUAAAAGACGGCUUUUGCUGUCACUUUUGGAUGGGCCUGCGGCGUAUUAACUUGUUGGUGGGGUAACGGCCUACCAAGGUGAUGAUACGUAGCCGAACUGAGAGGUUGAUCGGCCACAUUGGGACUGAGACACGGCCCAAACUCCUACGGGAGGCAGCAGUAGGGAAUCUUCCACAAUGGACGAAAGUCUGAUGGAGCAACGCCGCGUGAAUGAAGAAGGCCUUCGGGUCGUAAAAUUCUGUUGUCAGAGAAGAACGUGCGUGAGAGUAACUGUUCACGUAUUGACGGUAUCUGACCAGAAAGCCACGGCUAACUACGUGCCAGCAGCCGCGGUAAUACGUAGGUGGCGAGCGUUGUCCGGAUUUAUUGGGCGUAAAGGGAACGCAGGCGGUCUUUUAAGUCUGAUGUGAAAGCCUUCGGCUUAACCGAAGUAGUGCAUUGGAAACUGGAAGACUUGAGUGCAGAAGAGGAGAGUGGAACUCCAUGUGUAGCGGUGAAAUGCGUAGAUAUAUGGAAGAACACCAGUGGCGAAAGCGGCUCUCUGGUCUGUAACUGACGCUGAGGUUCGAAAGCGUGGGUAGCAAACAGGAUUAGAUACCCUGGUAGUCCACGCCGUAAACGAUGAGUGCUAAGUGUUGGAGGGUUUCCGCCCUUCAGUGCUGCAGCUAACGCAUUAAGCACUCCGCCUGGGGAGUACGGUCGCAAGACUGAAACUCAAAGGAAUUGACGG
This 938-nucleotide ribosomal RNA is filed under the name uncultured bacterium. RNAcentral describes it as "bacterial SSU rRNA". It matches the Rfam family "Bacterial small subunit ribosomal RNA", at positions 10 to 916 of the family's 1533-position model. The record is from RNAcentral.